AGUGCAGGGAUGACAAACACUCCACGCAGACCAGCGACUCCACUCACAGUUCACGGCUGGUGGGUCGGGAAGUUCCACCCCUCUGGAACACAGUGUUAGCCACACAAUUAGCUACACAAUUAGCCACACUGUUAGCUACACAGUUAGCUCUAUUGUUUUCUCGGAAGUGGAAGUCGGCAAUUAGAAAACCUGAUGCGGCCCAGCCUCGCCCAGACCCUAGCUCCAGUGGCCCCCAAAACAUGUUUUGGACAAAGUUUGGACACUCCUGAAUGAAGAAAGAACUAGCCAUGACUUCCUAACAUGGAUGAUUCAUAUGCUGCUUUCUCAUUGGUCAUGUGACUACUGCGUCAUGUGACCUGAGUCCCAAUGAAAGAUGAAGACACACCAUAAACUGAAAUGUGAGUGAGAUGGAUUAGGUAAGUUUCCCAUGACAAACAUGAGCAUGUAGAGUAUGAAACACCUUACUAGCAUUCUCACUAUGGAUUCUUCACUAGAUGCCUUGCUCUUAGCACAUUUACUUACAGGAGGAGCACCUGGGGGGGGGGUCAGUGGUUUAAUGCUCAUCAUGGGAGGAUGAGCAUUAAACCUGACUACUCUACCACCUGCCGCCCCCGUCAGAUGGCCCCCUGGAGCAGACUCAAAAGGGGACAGCAGUUCCAGUUGUUGCUCUUGCCCAAUGCACCCCGUGCUGCGUCAUGUGAUCUCUUCUGCUGAAUCGCCAUUUCCUGGACAGAGAUUUUUUGCUGUCAGAGUGCAUGCAGACAUGGAUAGGACAUAUAGAGGAUUGGACAUAUAGAAAAGAGUAUGAGGUUGCGUGCCGGGGGUGAUAUUCCUACAGGGGCUGCUUCCUGCAACGCUGUCCAGCUACUCCCACUGGGGCAUUGCAGCC
Doryrhamphus excisus (bluestripe pipefish) is the source of this 889-nucleotide non-coding RNA. NCBI's taxonomy places the organism in Eukaryota, Metazoa, Chordata, Actinopteri, Syngnathiformes, Syngnathidae. The record is from RefSeq and is a predicted model, not a curated record.